UUAGGAAUAUUCGUCAAUGGGGGAAACCCUGAACGAGCAAUGCCGCGUGAGUGAUGAAGGUCCUUUGGAUCGUAAAACUCUGUUGUUAAGGAAAAAUGAUAAAGUGAGGAAAUGCAUUUUAUUUGAUGGUACUUUUCAAGAAAGCCACGGCUAACUACGUGCCAGCAGCCGCGGUAAUACGUAGGUGGCGAGCGUUAUCCGGAUUUAUUGGGCGUAAAGCGUGCGCAGACGGCUUAUUAAGUCUAAAAUAAAAGCCCGGAGCUUAACUCCGGUUCGUUUUAGAAACUGGUAGGCUUGAGUAUGGUAGAGGCAAAUGGAAUUUCUAGUGUAGCGGUAAAAUGCGUAGAUAUUAGAAGGAACACCAGUGGCGAAGGCGAUUUGCUGGGCCAUUACUGACGUUCAUGCACGAAAGCGUGGGGAGCAAAUA
RNAcentral lists this ribosomal RNA (427 nucleotides) under uncultured bacterium. RNAcentral's name for it is "partial 16S ribosomal RNA". It matches the Rfam family "Bacterial small subunit ribosomal RNA", at positions 355 to 774 of the family's 1533-position model. The record is from RNAcentral.